This 417-nucleotide ribosomal RNA is filed under the name uncultured eukaryote. RNAcentral's name for it is "SSU rRNA". It matches the Rfam family "Eukaryotic small subunit ribosomal RNA", at positions 567 to 990 of the family's 1831-position model. The record is from RNAcentral.
CCAGCAGCUGCGGUAAUUCCAGCUCCAAUAGCGUAUAUAAAAGUUGUUGCAGUUAAAACGCUCGUAGUUGAAUUUCUGACGGUGGCGGUCGUGUCGGGCUCUGCUCGUUCGCGGCUGACCUGCGUCAUCCUGCGACAGGACGGCGCUGUCCUUAACUGGGCGGUGUCGCACCUUCGCACUGUUACCUUGAAAAAAUUAGAGUGUUUAAGGCAGGCGUUUGCUUUGAAUACAUUAGCAUGGAAUAACGAAGAUGGACUCAGGUCUUUCUUUGUUGGUUCACGGACCCGAGUAACGAUUAAUAGGGAUAGUUGGGGGCAUUCGUAUUUAAUUGUCAGAGGUGAAAUUCUUGGAUUUGUUAAAGACGAACUACUGCGAAAGCAUUUGCCAAGGAUGUUUUCUUUAAUCAAGAACGAACGU